Molecule: ribosomal RNA, 305 nt
Filed under: uncultured bacterium
Lineage: Bacteria
Description: bacterial SSU rRNA
Rfam family: Bacterial small subunit ribosomal RNA
Source: RNAcentral
CUCCUACGGGAGGCAGCAGUAGGGAAUCUUCGGCAAUGGGGGGAACCCUGACCGGGCAACGCCGCGUGAGUGAAGAAGGUUUUCGGAUCGUAAAGCUCUGUUGUAAGAGAAGAACGUUAGCGGGAGUGGAAAAUCCGCUUAGUGACGGUACCUUACCAGAAAGGGACGGCUAACUACGUGCCAGCAGCCGCGGUAAUACGUAGGUCCCGAGCGUUGUCCGGAUUUAUUGGGCGUAAAGCGAGCGCAGGCGGUUUGAUAAUUCAGAAGUAAAAGGCUGUGGCCCAACCAUAGUCAGUUUUUGAAAC